AAUACGUUCCCGGGUCUUGUACACACCGCCCGUCACACCACGAGAGUUUGUAACACCCGAAGCCGGUGGAGUAACCUUUUAGGAGCUAGCCGUCGAAGGUGGGACAAAUGAUUGGGGUGAAGUCGUAACAAGGUAGCCGUAUCGGAAGGUGCGGCUGGAUCACCUCCUUUCUAAGGA
Molecule: ribosomal RNA, 177 nt
Filed under: Staphylococcus aureus
Lineage: Bacteria; Bacillati; Bacillota; Bacilli; Caryophanales; Staphylococcaceae
Description: partial 16S ribosomal RNA
Rfam family: Bacterial small subunit ribosomal RNA
Source: RNAcentral